This 497-nucleotide ribosomal RNA is filed under the name uncultured bacterium. Its description in RNAcentral is "partial 16S ribosomal RNA". It matches the Rfam family "Bacterial small subunit ribosomal RNA", at positions 28 to 507 of the family's 1533-position model. The record is from RNAcentral.
GAUGAACGCUGGCGGCGUGCCUAAUACAUGCAAGUCGAGCGAACGGACGAGAAGCUUGCUUCUCUGAUGUUAGCGGCGGACGGGUGAGUAGCACGUGGAUAACCUACCUAUAAGACUGGGAUAACUUCGGGAAACCGGAGCUAAUACCGGAUAAUAUUUUGAACCGCAUGGUUCAAAAGUGAAAGACGGUCUUGCUGUCACUUAUAGAUGGAUCCGCGCUGCAUUAGCUAGUUGGUAAGGUAACGGCUUACCAAGGCAACGAUGCAUAGCCGACCGGAGAGGGGGAUCGGCCACACGGGAACGGAGACACGGUCCAGACUCCUACGGUAGGCAGCAGUAGGGAAUCUUCCGCAAUGGGCGAAAGCCUGACGGAGCAACGCCGCGUGAGUGAUGAAGGUCUUCGGAUCGUAAAACUCUGUUAUUAGGGAAGAACAUAUGUGUAAGUAACUGUGCACAUCUUGACGGUACCGAAUCAGAAAGCCACGGCUAACUACGUG